Molecule: long non-coding RNA, 200 nt
Organism: Amphimedon queenslandica
Lineage: Eukaryota; Metazoa; Porifera; Demospongiae; Haplosclerida; Niphatidae
Exons: 2
Source: RefSeq, a predicted model, not a curated record
CUAUAAUGAUUUAUGACAAUCCUUGACAGUUACAUGAAUAUAAGAAGGAGAAAGAGACAAGGCAUCUUAAAUUUGAUCCUGUUCUUUGCUUCAUCAGAUAAAUAGAUCUUCACUAGUUUAAGAUUUUAAAAAUAACUGCAAUCAUCAUAGUUUGUAGUGAAGUAAUAAAAUUCUCAUUGGGUCUUUUCUAAUGCUUUAAA